ACUCUUACCUCGUCUGUAAUGAGGCUAUUUUCAAAGGACUAUUGGCUCAAGUAAUUUACUAGAUUCUUACAUUUGUAUGGCAUGUCUACACUCUACACCUCGAAAGACAUAAUUUAAACGAGAAGCAUGGAUUACAACUCUCUAUUACCCUUGCUACUGUUAACUUGGAUUUCUACUUCUUCUCCAAUCCUUGUAAAGUAUAAAAAUAAAAGACUAGAUUCUUUCUAAGUUUCAUAAAUAUACUUUGGUAUUUAUGCAGGUAAAAUAAUACAGGCACCUGAUAGAAAAAUGAAUGUGUGCAUAAACUGUCAUGAAAUACACCACAAUAAGAAU
Molecule: long non-coding RNA, 333 nt
Filed under: Solanum tuberosum (potato)
Lineage: Eukaryota; Viridiplantae; Streptophyta; Magnoliopsida; Solanales; Solanaceae
Description: long non-coding RNA (STUB_LNC002274)
Source: RNAcentral